AACGCACCUUGCGCCCUCUGGUAUUCCGGAGGGCAUGCCUGUCUGAGUGUCGCGCACCUCUCAACCCCCGCUCUGCUUUAAAACGCGGCGCGCGCGGGCUUGGACCGUGGCUGCCUUGGUCGCUCGCAAGAGCGGCCCAGCCGAAAUGCACACCAAGCGGAUGUCCGUCCUUCUUGGACUGCGGCUUGACCGAGUGUUGUAGUGUCGUACAAAGCACAUUCGGGACGCGGACCUUGCGAAAGACGGCCCUGCGCCGGACACAGCGAUAACUAUUGUCAUCGACCUCAAAUCAGGCAGGACUACCCGCUGAACUUAA
Molecule: unclassified non-coding RNA, 316 nt
Rfam family: 5.8S ribosomal RNA (bases 1-52)